This 402-nucleotide ribosomal RNA is filed under the name bacterium. Its description in RNAcentral is "partial 16S ribosomal RNA". It matches the Rfam family "Bacterial small subunit ribosomal RNA", at positions 355 to 776 of the family's 1533-position model. The record is from RNAcentral.
UUGGGAAUUUUGCACAAUGGGGGAAACCCUGAUGCAGCGACGCCGCGUGAUUUAGAAGGCCUUCGGGUUGUAAAAAUCUUUUUUACGGGAUGAAAAUGACAGUACCGUAAGAAUAAGGUCCGGCUAAAUACGUGCCAGCAGCCGCGGUAAUACGUAUGGACCGAGCGUUGUCCGGAAUCAUUGGGCGUAAAGGGUACGUAGGCGGCCUAGUAAGUUAGAAGUGAAAUAAUAUAGCUCAACUAUAUAAAGCUUUUAAAACUGCUAGGCUUGAGAGAUGGAAGGGAAAGUGGAAUUCCUAGUGUAGCGGUGAAAUGCGCAGAUAUUAGGAAGAAUACCGGUGGCGAAGGCGACUUUCUGGUCAUCAUCUGACGCUGAGGUACGAAAGCGUGGGUAGCAAACAGG